UACGGGGGGGGCAAGCGUUGUUCGGAAUUACUGGGCGUAAAGGGUCCGUAGGUGGCCAACUAAGUCAGACGUGAAAUUCCUCAGCUUAACUGGGGAACUGCGUCUGAGACUGGAUGGCUCGAGUGCAGGAGAGGAAUGCGGAAUUCCAGGUGUAGCGGUGAAAUGCGUAGAUAUCUGGAGGAACACCGGUGGCGAAGGCGGCAUUCUGGACUGCAACUGACACUGAACGACGAAAGCCAGGGGAGCAAACGGG
This 253-nucleotide ribosomal RNA is filed under the name uncultured bacterium. Its description in RNAcentral is "partial 16S ribosomal RNA". It matches the Rfam family "Bacterial small subunit ribosomal RNA", at positions 524 to 776 of the family's 1533-position model. The record is from RNAcentral.